AUGACGGUGUUCAGAAAGUUAAAACUUCUUCUCUGGAAGGAUUUCAUCUUAAAGGUGGUAUGGUUAUCUGUGGGAAGAUAUAAGUCCUUGGGAGGGAUUGAAUGUUUAAGUUAAAUUGGUUCCUAAUAACGGGUUAAAGAACACUUAAGAACUUUACAUGGAAAGGGGCCCUUUUCUGUAAACAAGUCAUGUAAUUAUUAAAGAUGACAUAAUUGUUACUGAUUUCUGGCCAUUGGAGUUACAGAAAGGCUAAAAGGAGAUGUUUCAAGCCAAUUCUUAUUCUUUGUUUUUCUUUUUCAUGUGUUGUGCAGGGAGACUGGAAGAAAUUAAAGUGUUCUAAAUGGAAGAGCAUUCACCACAUGUGUUCUGUUUUGGGUUGACAUUUAGCUUUUGUUUUUAUUUUAGAAACGGAAGACUCUGGUAGCAAUCCUUGAAAUCUUGAUGCCAUUGCUAUUUUCUGCAUUGUAUUGUAUCUUCAUUUUAGUAGUGCUCCAAUAAAAAGACCUGCCACUAACUGCCAUGCAAUUGAUAUCAGUUCGUUGCCAGACUUCUACAAUUUUCCUGAAAAAUAGAUUUCAACUAGUUUAUAUCCCUUCUAAAAGUGAAACUUUGAAGGCUAUCACCGAAAUGGUGGAACAUAUCUUUGAUGUUGAGUUUGAAGGCUAUCCUUCAGUGUCUUUGUUUGAACAUUAUAUAAUUGAUGAUCCCAAAGCUUUCUGCAUAUUGGCAGGAAUUGUUUUUGACCAUAACGUCAAUGACAGCAAUGGAUCUUUGCCACUUGUGGUUAAGUAUCAAUUGCGCUUCAGUUACUUUCAGAAGAAUUUUAUACCGGGGAAGAAUAUAUUUUUCCAAGAUGACAUAGAAGGCUGGUGCACAUCCUUUCUUUACCCUCUCAAUCCAUGCCAAGAACCCCGUGAAUUUCCAUUUGCUGAUGGGGGAAGUCCUGGAUACAACAAAGAAGGCUUCCUGGCCAUACAGUAUGCUGUGGAUAAAGCCAUCAUGUGGUACCAUGCUCACAGUGCAAUUACCAACAUGUUUGAGAAUCCCAAUGUACUUGUGAAGAGAUUCCCAUAUGGACCCUAUAUUGAGGACAGGUUCUUCCUAGUCCUUCAGAAUGAGUUUUCUCUGUUCUUCAUACUCAGCUUCAUGUGCAUUGAGCUCAUCAUCAUCAAUUCCAUUGUACUGGAGAAAGAGAAAAGACUGAAGGUCUUAUUCCCCCUACAAGUGGAUGUGCAUAUGUCAAUGGAUAUGAGAUUCCACAAGAGAUGUUUCACAUUAGGAAGAGCCUGGGCUGGUGCCCCCAACAUGGUGUCUUAUUUGAUAAGUUAACAGUAGCAGAACAUCUUUCUUUCUAUGGUCAGCUGAAGGGCCUGUCACGCCGGAAGUGCCCUGAAGAAGUCAAGCAGAUGCUGCAUGUCAUCGGCCUGGAGGACAAGUGGAACUCACGGAGCCGCUUCCUGAGUGGGGGCAUGAGGCACAAGCUCUCCAUCGGCAUUGCCCUCAUCGCAGGCUCCAAGGUUUGAAUCUCUAUUUACUGACUUGGAACUGAGGCAGGUAGAGCUGGGCAUCUCCAGCUUUGGGGCCUCUGUCAUGACCAUGGAGGAUGUCUUCAUAAGGUACAGUGGUGGAUUGGUUACUGUCCUCAAUUUCAUGCUCUGCUGAACUUCAUGACAGGCCAUGAGAUGCUGGUCAUGUAUGCCCAGAUCGGGGGCAUCCCAGAGCACCCCAUUAGUGCUUGUGUGGACCAGAUUCUUGAGGAUUUAGUCAAGUACAUGUACGCCGACAAGCUGGUCAAGACCUACAGAGUGGUGGUAACCAGCGGAAGUUGAGCACUGGCAUCGAUCGCCCUGAUCGGAGAGCUUGCCUUCAUCCGAUCAGGAUGAAGCCAUCCACUGGCAUGGACUCCGUGGCCUGGCGCCUGCUCUGGAAUGCUGUGGCACAAGCCCACGAGUCCGGCAAGGCCAUCGUCAUCACCUCCCAUAGCAUGGAGGAGUGUGAGGCCCUGUGCACCUGGCUGGCCAUCAUGGUGCGGGGGCAGUUCAAGUGUCUGGGCAGCCCCCAGCACCUCAAGAGCAAGUUCGGCAGUGGCUACUCCCUGAGGGCUAAGGUGCAGAGCGAAGGGCAGCAGGAGGCGCUGGAGGAGUUCAAGGCCUUCAUGGACCUGACCUUUCCAGGUAGCAUCCUUGAAGACAAGCACCAAUGCAUGGUCCAUUACCAUCUGCUGGGCCAAGACCUCAGCUGGGUGUGUUUGGCACUCUGGAGCAAGUCAAGAAGAAGUACAUGCUGGACGAUUACUCAGUCAGUCAGGUCACCAUGGAGGACGUCUUCCUGAGCUUCGCCUGCCCUGUGCCCCUGGUCCAAAGUGAAGACCAACG
This 2375-nucleotide small RNA is filed under the name Pongo abelii (Sumatran orangutan). Its description in RNAcentral is "transcribed unitary pseudogene". The record is from RNAcentral. Lineage: Eukaryota; Metazoa; Chordata; Mammalia; Primates; Hominidae.